CUUAGAUGCUCCUCCAGCUCUUCAGAAGCUAAGAGAGAACUUUCCUAGAUGAGACGAGAGUGCAAAUUGAAAGGGCACAAUUAUGCCUUUUUCGGUGUUGCAGAAUGGUUAGUAUGGCCUCUAAAAUGCUACUAGACAGUAUAUUGGGUAUUUUUAUAGCGAGUCUGUCUCCCGUGUUUGUUGUUCCUUAUUGGACAUGUAGUCAUUUGACCCUUACAUUUUAAGUUGUUACUCAUUUCAGAUUUAGACAUCUUGCGGUCUUAGGUUGUUUUGUAUGUUGGCUUAAUUGAUAAUGAUCCUUAAACUUUGCAGUUUCAACCUAACAAUGAAAAGUUUCUCAAACCUAUAUGUAAGAACUACCUGUGCAUUUCGCUUUUUGUUAUUCUGGUUCAUUUUUUUUUCUGCAGUUUGUUAAGUUCAUAGUAUCAAUCUCAUCUCUUUGUGUUUCUCGUGAAAACUAACUUGCUUGAAUAUCUUGGCAUUUCCAUAGGUGUUAAUUACCAAGUAUCCUCUAACUGCAUCUAUGAUCAGAGAGGAACUUAAACACAAAAAUGAUGGCAGUAUGAAUCUCUUAUUAUGAGCUUGGUGCUACAAAGUCGAAGGAGUGUUCAUCUUUUGUUUCAAAAUUAAGGAAAUUGUAAUCAUCAUUUUUUUAAGAAAUGAUUAGUUUGUAUUUUUAAUCUUUUUGUUCCUGUAAAGAUUGUCUUUUUUAAAGAAAUGAUGUAAAUUGAUCUAUGUGAUAUAAUAAAACUUGAUUUA
This is a long non-coding RNA of Papaver somniferum (opium poppy), 759 nucleotides long. RefSeq lists it as uncharacterized. Lineage: Eukaryota; Viridiplantae; Streptophyta; Magnoliopsida; Ranunculales; Papaveraceae. The transcript is spliced from 2 exons. The record is from RefSeq and is a predicted model, not a curated record.